This 465-nucleotide long non-coding RNA is filed under the name Mytilus galloprovincialis (Mediterranean mussel). Lineage: Eukaryota; Metazoa; Mollusca; Bivalvia; Mytilida; Mytilidae. The record is from RNAcentral.
AAAAAAAAAAAAGUCAGUCAUAUGCAUGGUUUUAGCCAUUCGAAAAAGUCUAUAAGAUUUUAAAAGCAUUCGAAUGUAAGUGUGCAUAAUGUUGUUCGAAAGAGGCAUUGCAUUGUGCUACGAACUCAAUAUUCUUAAACCAGUUUGUACGAAAACAUAAAUAGAUAAAGAUGUUUUUCAUUCAUUUUUGGGCGAACAGAAAGUAAUCAUUUGUAUAACUGAACACUGAUUAAACAAAUUAGCAAAGUACAGAGUCGUCACCAUCUUAAACCUACAAUGAUCAAUACAGUGGUUUCUGUUUUGUGUUUGAAACGACCGAAGAAAAAAUGGUCAUCUGUCUAGCUAUUUAUUUUUCGAUCCCGUUAUACUUAUCAUUGGCAGUAAAUCCGGAAAAGCCUUUCGAAAGCAGCAAAUUGAAAAAUAAAACAUUCUUUGUAUUAUAUACAAGAUAAAGUAGACUGAGCG